AUUGAACGCUGGCGGCAUGCCUUACACAUGCAAGUCGAACGGUAACGCGGGGCAACCUGGCGACGAGUGGCGAACGGGUGAGUAAUGCAUCGGAACGUGCCCAGUAGUGGGGGAUAGCCCGGCGAAAGCCGGAUUAAUACCGCAUACGACCUACGGGUGAAAGGGGGGGAUCGCAAGACCUCUCGCUAUUGGAGCGGCCGAGGUCAGAUUAGGUAGUUGGUGGGGUAAAGGCCUACCAAGCCAACGAACUGUAGCUGGUCUGAGAGGACGACCAGCCACACUGGGACUGAGACACGGCCCAGACUCCUACGGGAGGCAGCAGUGGGGAAUUUUGGACAAUGGGCGCAAGCCUGAUCCAGCCAUGCCGCGUGCGGGAAGGAGGCCUUCGGGUUGUAAACCGCUUUUGUCAGGGAAGAAACGCUCCGAGAUAAUACCUCGGGGUAAUGACGGUACCUGAAGAAUAAGCACCGGCUAACUACGUGCCAGCAGCCGCAGUAA
Molecule: ribosomal RNA, 498 nt
Filed under: uncultured bacterium
Lineage: Bacteria
Description: partial 16S ribosomal RNA
Rfam family: Bacterial small subunit ribosomal RNA
Source: RNAcentral